UCCUUCACAUUGGCAUUUCCUUAAGGAUAAACAUUUCUUCCUAGGCUAGGAUUUUAUUGCUGUGCUCAUCCUUUGUCCACCCAGCUAACC
Ceratotherium simum simum (southern white rhinoceros) is the source of this 90-nucleotide non-coding RNA. Lineage: Eukaryota; Metazoa; Chordata; Mammalia; Perissodactyla; Rhinocerotidae. The record is from RefSeq and is a predicted model, not a curated record.